CACUUUACAUCAAGGACUGAAACCUACGGUAAGGGGUAUAUUUACUUGGCCAACACAGGCAGUUCGAUUUCAAAAUAUAACAAAAAUAAGGAAAAUCUGAAUAAAGUUAUUGCUUAUUAACGCUAACCCAGUUCACAUACUACGGGAAUAUUUAUCCUAUAAACUUAUGGCAAUGUGCAGAAUAGGAACCAGCUUGCAGUUUUAUUUACAAUUACCAGAAUAAUAAUGAACGUGAAAGACUUCUAACAUAUUUCCACCCAUGUUUGUUUUUUGCCUAGACAUGGGCCUUUGUCACAAUAUUCAAACAUAGGUGAAGCAAGUAUUUGCCUGAAGCAGCGGGCUAAGAUUUUUUUGCAAUCUUGUAAUUUUCAUGGCAUACGACGCAUCUGUUAUUGAAGCUGACGUUUGCUAUCUGUGCCCAAAUCGAGAUUUUAAUACAACGAUGACUUGUAAUAUCUUCUCACAAUGGAAUUGUUUGUCGGACAAUGGUACAGAACAGUCACUCUAAACUUCAUGGUCAGCGAAAGUAAUUUUGCUGUCACCGAUUUUGACAGACGGAUCUUGAUGGGCGACGUACCAACAGUUGAAAAAAUGGAUUGGUCUUCUUGUACAAGAGCUUUUCUACUUGUAAUUACUGUCACGUUUCCAGUUGGUUUUGAUAAUUUUGGCAGUUUUGUAAAGCUGGGCGAUUUAUGCUGCUCAAACAUACUUCCAUAAAAAGCCACGAUCUGCAUUGCGCUGAUAACAAUAUUGCCAUAUCAUCUCUAUUGUACAUAUUAAAUAAUGCCCAGAUACGUUUUAAUAAUACUCCUACACCCCUCUCUUUGAAGUCCCAGAUGAGCGAUUUCAUAAAAAAUACAAAAAGGGUAGAAUUUGGGUCAAGUCCCUGCUCCCUUGGCACAAAUAGAAAUAGCUACUCUGACUUCAAGUUUACAGGUAAUGCGGUUUAUUAGUUUUCUAUAUUCAACUUAUUAUUUAGUAUACUUGCGUGAUUAACAUACAGAUCUUCCGUACAACGGAAAUUUUUAUAUUAAUUUAUGACAUCAUAUUACAUGAACAUCUUUGUUAUGACCCCAAAAUUAAUUUCACUAAGAAAACCAUAUGACGUCACUAUGAUUUUUCGCAUUGUUGGAAAUACAUGAUACUAAUUACAUUAACUGGCGUAACUUAUUUCAAACUAUCCAUAAUCAAAUGAAUUAUGAUAACCUCUAGUACAUUGUGAGCUAUUUUCACAGAGAUAUAUAAAUAUAGAGUGUGCUUCUCUCUCGUUUUCGCGGGAUCGUUUGAAGCCUCUCUCGUUUUGACGAUAUGCUUCCAAAUUUUCCGAUGCGCGCAAUGCAUUUCUUAAGGGAUUUUACAGAAAUUAAUUAUUUGCGUCGAUUUUUUUUGCAUAUUCGCAUGUUCUUGAUUCGUUUCUCACUAUAUAUCAAACGCUAAUAUACCCCAGCUUAGCAUCUUUAAGGAAAAGUUUUAAAAAAUAGAAAGUCAUAUAUUUGACAAAAUGCCGAAACUUAUGCCUUUUUAAUAAAACAAACUAAGCACUGUUGCAAACUAUCGCCAUAACAAAAAGGCGAUAUGCAAUACUGUUGUAUAAAAUAUACCAAGUAACCCAUUAGUAAACGGGAGAAAUCUAAUGGAAAUCCUAUGUUAUGAUCUGAUUUAUUCAAUACUUGUACAUUACUUUCUAUUGUGACCACUUGUAACACAAACAUUUGUAUACCUUAUGUGUUUAUUCUUACAGUUGAAUCUCAUGCGAAUAGCAACACAAAGAUCUUAUUUGCAUCAGAUUAUUUAACAUAUAUUCUUGCUGUUGAUUGUAAUAAAUUUGAAGGGAUUCGAUGGAUCGGAGUGUUUACACCAACACCAUAUCCAACAGCGGAAGAUCUUCUUGGCGUCAGAAAUACUUUGAUUGAUUUGAAUGUGACAUCGCCUCUAAAUUUUUCUCAAUGCCACGGCCGAAAAUUGGAUUGUUUGACUCAUAUUAUAUCCACUCAUCAUAUUAUAGAACGAUAUAGCAAAUAAAUAUUCAGACACAUAACAAAAAAAUAUUCACCUAUUUCACUGUUUGUUUGAUAGACAAUGUUUGGAAUACUUGCUUUAUUUACUAUCGGAUCUCUCUAUCAAUCUCUCUUUCACUCUAUUUCAAAGGCGGGGUAUUACGAAAAAUGUAUUUGGGGAAAUUGAUUCUAUAUAAUUGUUUAGAACGUAGUGCCUAACGUUUCCACAAAGUUUCCACGAUGAAGGAAUUUUCGAGGACCGCUUAAGUCAGUGGUUCUUUAACUUUGUGAGCCUGCCGAACCCCUACGCUAUUCUGCAAGCUUCUGUCGAACCCCAAAUAUUUGAACUUAAAAGCGCAACCUGAACUUAUUGAGGGUUGUUUUUGCGAGUUAAAUUUGAAGGAAAUGCUUUGUCAAGAGAGUAUCAACCACCGAAAAAAAAACUGGCUGCUCCAUUGGUUGUAGCAGAAUAAAUUGCAACAAACAGUAAACUUCAAUUAUUCAUUAGAUUUAUUAGUGAUACUUCUGCUGCUGUUUUUCGGUAACCAAUUGAGAGAUACGUGGCUUCAAUUCAAAAGGGGCAAUUCUCACGCCAUUCUCGCAUUGGAGUCACGUUCAGUUGAGCAGGUAAAGCCAUACUGCAAAUAGU
This is a non-coding RNA of Styela clava, 2646 nucleotides long. NCBI's taxonomy places the organism in Eukaryota, Metazoa, Chordata, Ascidiacea, Stolidobranchia, Styelidae. The record is from RefSeq and is a predicted model, not a curated record.